AAAUCUUAAAAAAAAUGAGAAACAUUUAGAAUAAGUGGUAUAGGGCAGCCCAGGUGGCUCAGCAGUUUAGCACCGCCUUCAGUCCAGGGCCUGAUCCUGGAGGCCUGGGAUCGAGUCCCAUGUCAGGCUCCCUGCAUGGAGCCUGCUUCUCCCUCUGCCUCUCUCUCUCUCUCUCUCUCUCUCUCAUGAAUAAAUAAAUAAAAUCUUUUAAAAAAAUAGAAUAAGUGGUAUAGGAAAGAUGAACCUGAUAACCUACAGUUCGAAUUUGCCUUCAAAGCCUCUGCCCUCACAAUGCCCUCCGGACGCCUCGGCCAGCUUUUAUACUUCCUGCAAUUAUCAGUGCAAUUUGGAAGUUAUAGAACAAUUGAUCAAAGACAGUGCUUGACAUACUCUUACUAGACUCUUCUUUUUUCCUUUGUCUCAAGCUUUUCUUUAGAGCCAGGUCGGAUGCCUUAUGGCUCUUCGACUUCACUAGUGGGGCAGUUCAUAACCCUUUCCUGGGGACUGAGCAUUUCUCUCAGAAACAAUUCUGGCCACGGAGCAAGUAAUGAAAUGAGAACAAAAAAUAUUUCAUAUCGUGGGUCUUCUCCUUUCCUCUACAUCAAUAGUUUUACACCUCUGGAAAUCAUCAUGAGCUGAUCUCAAU
RNAcentral lists this long non-coding RNA (646 nucleotides) under Vulpes vulpes (red fox). RNAcentral describes it as "lncRNA (ENSVVUG00000018547.1)". Lineage: Eukaryota; Metazoa; Chordata; Mammalia; Carnivora; Canidae. The record is from RNAcentral.